CAACUUGGAACAGUUGGUGACUUGGUGUCUUCUCCCAUCUAAAACUCCAGAAACCAGACGUUAGACGUCAUCCCUCCUCCCUUGGCCGACUUGAUAAGUUUUGAAUCCUUCGGAUAACAUCAGCUUGUGAUAAAGAUGACAUUUAGGAUGAAGCUUGGUUCCUCUAUUUCACUUUGGAGAAGGAGUCUGGACUCCGAGUUCUGUAUAAAUAGGAGUACCCAUUACUUGUUUCUGCAUUCUCCAUCAAGAACGUACAUUGGGCCUCUCGAGUUGAACUGGAUGUGGCUUCUCCUCGAGACAUAAUUUUGAAGCAGAGCAUUGCAGGCGGUGUUCGAACCAUUGCUUUACAGAGGUGGAGUAAUUUAUUCCUUUGGUGCUGCAUAAAGAUUCCUCCAGAGCAGUUUCUUCACUUUGUGAGCCCAAGAACUUUGCAGAUUUGUCCUUGGCGUGAACCAACAGCCCGAGGCUUUCACUUGACACUCAUCUUUGCCACCCAUAUGCAGGACGCACCGCAAUACAGGCAUCAAAGACAAGUGUAGCGAAACUCGGGAACUUCGUAGAGCCGUACUUGGUGUGAACUGGCAGCCCCCCGGGCAUUCACUUGACACUCAUCUUUGCCACCCAUAUGCAGGACGCACCGCGAUACAGGCAUCAAAAACAAGUGUAGUGAACCCCUCUGUUUCUCUUCUUUUGCCAUCAGAAAGUUGUCGAAAUCCCUUCUCUUUGCACGUGCUUCUUUCAUUCUCUGAACCUGCACUUGUCGUCAACAUAGAAGGUAUUUCGAAAAUGUUUUCUGGUUGUUGUUUUAUGUCUUUCUGAUUUCUGGUGGGCAGCAGUAGAGUUUUGGGGUUUUGUGGCUUUUUGGUUGGUGUAUUUGGCUUUGGGGAUUUCAAGGCUUCUUAGCACGGAGGAUUUGUUAUCGGUGCUAUUUUGGAAGGGUUAUAAAACCCCUGUGGAAAUAAACAGAGGAAGGACUUUCUGCACUCAUGAACCCAUCAGCAACAAUACAGGAAAAGUACCAAUAAAAGACCAUGGAGAAAUGACCAGCAGGAUACCUGAACUUGAUGCUCUCCUGUCGUCGGGUUGUAGUCUCCAGCCUUGUGUUUCUUAUAUAGGGGGCAGUGAAGAUUCUAGAGGGCGGGAUAAACAUUUGUUUGAAAUUUGAAUCUCCCGAAGAUCACGAAGAUAAGCUGUUGAUCGGAGACUUCGUCUUUGACUUUGAGAUUGAACUUGGACGCCCUCUGCCACUUUGUUCUUAUCACAAUUUGAAUGCUUUCUUCUGUUUCUUUUUUUUCGUAGCUUAUCCCCACCCAAGCUUGGUCAACCUUUGAAUUUGAGAAACAGAUAAUUUGUAAAUAAAUAUUUGUUUAACUGCUGUCAUUAUCCUCUUCUCCUUUUUUUUUUGAAUAAUUGUGACAGCUACAUGCUUUGUA
Long non-coding RNA from Rosa chinensis, 1433 nucleotides. RefSeq lists it as uncharacterized. The record is from RefSeq and is a predicted model, not a curated record. Lineage: Eukaryota; Viridiplantae; Streptophyta; Magnoliopsida; Rosales; Rosaceae. The transcript is spliced from 5 exons.